This 253-nucleotide ribosomal RNA is filed under the name uncultured bacterium. RNAcentral describes it as "partial 16S ribosomal RNA". It matches the Rfam family "Bacterial small subunit ribosomal RNA", at positions 524 to 776 of the family's 1533-position model. The record is from RNAcentral.
GACAGAGGGUGCAAACGUUGUUCGGAAUUACUGGGCGUAAAGCGCGUGUAGGCGGCAACGCAAGUCGGAUGUGAAAUCCCAUGGCUCAACCAUGGAAGUGCACCCGAAACUGCGUCGCUAGAGUCCUGGAGAGGAAGGUGGAAUGCUUGGUGUAGAGGUGAAAUUCGUAGAUAUCAAGCGGAACACCGGUGGCGAAGGCGGCCUUCUGGACAGUGACUGACGCUGAUGCGCGAAAGCGUGGGGAGCAAACGGG